GUCAAAGACAUUCCCCCGUCAGUCCCGCACUCUCGGACGCGAUUUUCGAUUGGGCCCCGGCCGCCGCGCAAGCUGACUUCCGCCCGGAAACCAUACUGCCCUCACACGAGAGACUCGCUGGGGUAACAGCUGGGUAAAACCGGGUUGCCCUCAAGACCGCACCAUGCCUCGGUAGAAUACGAUCUAUCAUUGGGACCACCACAUAAUGCCACAACUGGGAUCGAACCGGAGACUGGCACAACCAAACCCCAUGGGAUUACCCAGCUGGGCUGGGAGGAGGUAAACUCUCAAUCUCAAGUUGGUAAAAGGUUGGAUUCUCCCUUAUGCUUAUAUUCCUCAAUAUUGCAACCCAUUUUCAGGUUAUGCAGCAAAUAGGAUACAUUAGUGGAAUGGCUUCUUCGU
Molecule: long non-coding RNA, 402 nt
Filed under: Helianthus annuus (common sunflower)
Lineage: Eukaryota; Viridiplantae; Streptophyta; Magnoliopsida; Asterales; Asteraceae
Description: sRNA HanXRQr2_Chr15g0722101
Source: RNAcentral